Molecule: long non-coding RNA, 1073 nt
Organism: Hyla sarda
Lineage: Eukaryota; Metazoa; Chordata; Amphibia; Anura; Hylidae
Exons: 6
Source: RefSeq, a predicted model, not a curated record
AGUAUGUAGAAAUGCUACCAAUGUCAUAACACAUCAUAAAUAAAGCAUGCCACUACUAAGAGUACAAAUUAGGGCAGAUAUUCUCACAAUAAACAUUUACACUAAGAUAAACCAAAGACCACCCUCUUACCCAGACCAUUUUUCUAUGACCGAUUUUCAUUCUUUGAGAACAUCAGCCUUUCUAGUAGACCACUUUUUGUGCAAUUUCGGGUGGUCGUCUCAAAGAGGUGAGCAAGAAGGCAUUCCAGGCUGUGGCAUGUGAGCAGUUUGGCCCCACCUCCUUGACACACGCUUAAAAAUAAAAAGAGUCCUGAGGAGAGUGUGCCCAAGACGGACAUUGAAGCAGAAUCUGCCACACAGGAUGGGCAGGAGUACAGGAGAACACAUGAUUCUGUACUGGGUCAUCACAUCAUUGCCACUCACCUAAGCACUGGCCAGGAAAAGGAGUGCACCGUGGACCAGAGCGGGACAAUGGAGGCACCAGGGGAGCAGUGGGAGAACAAGGAAAAAGCUCUUCAGUUUUUAUGCCUACAGGCACCUGAAAUCCAACCCUGACUGCAGAUGAUGGCAGAGAAGCAUGAAAGCAGCCAUGUAUCUCUCACACGCAUUUCCAGCAAGAAUUACAUGUUUAAGGAAUCAGGAGCUCUAUGGAAUCAGCAGCUGUAGGGAUAGAGGCAGGCUCUCAUGUACCAGCUUUAUAGUGAUCUAAUCUCCGGCGUCCAGGUGCAGCAUAUGGUAUCCACCUCAGUAAAGGGAUCACAGGAACGGCCUUCAUGCUGAUUGAGUUAUACUUCUGGAAUUUUAAUAUGAUAAAGCGUGAUCAUUUCUGCACACAAGAAGACCAGUCUGGAUCCGAUCCGUUUUUUUUUCUUAAAAGAAAAGUAAAAUAUUUUAUUUUUCUCCAAGUCACAAGUCUUUAAUUUAGUGUAAUGAAUUCCAUGUGCAUUUUACUUCAUGAAGCGAAUCAAAGCAGGAUUUAGUUUUUUUUCGCAUUGCAUGAAAAGUUCUGUACUGCAGUGUUUGUUAAUGUUAAAAUAGAGGCGUAUGAUUCAAAGAAUUGUAACUAUUUUAAA